GCCUACGGGGGGCAGCAGUGGGGAAUAUUGCACAAUGGGGGAAGCCCUGAUGCAGCGACGCCGCGUGAGUGAAGAAGUAUUUCGGUAUGUAAAGCUCUAUCAGCAGGGAAGAAAUACUGACCUUACGGUCAGCAGACGGUACCUGACUAAGAAGCCCCGGCUAACUACGUGCCAGCAGCCGCGGUAAUACGUAGGGGGCAAGCGUUAUCCGGAUUUACUGGGGGUAAAGGGAGCGUAGACGGCAGCGCAAGGCGGAAGGGAAAUCCCAUGGC
RNAcentral lists this ribosomal RNA (272 nucleotides) under uncultured bacterium. RNAcentral's name for it is "partial 16S ribosomal RNA". It matches the Rfam family "Bacterial small subunit ribosomal RNA", at positions 337 to 608 of the family's 1533-position model. The record is from RNAcentral.